GAGAGGUGUGUCUACAAUAAGAACUGCUAAUUCUUUAUUACCUGAGUUAAACUCCCAGGCUCACUC
This 66-nucleotide transfer RNA is filed under the name Paraplagusia blochii (Bloch's tonguesole). RNAcentral's name for it is "tRNA-Ser". The record is from RNAcentral. Lineage: Eukaryota; Metazoa; Chordata; Actinopteri; Pleuronectiformes; Cynoglossidae.